RNAcentral lists this unclassified non-coding RNA (253 nucleotides) under Bacilli bacterium. RNAcentral describes it as "contains 16S-23S intergenic spacer region". It matches the Rfam family "Bacterial small subunit ribosomal RNA", at positions 524 to 776 of the family's 1533-position model. Lineage: Bacteria; Bacillati; Bacillota; Bacilli. The record is from RNAcentral.
UACGUAGGUGACAAGCGUUGUCCGGAUUUAUUGGGCGUAAAGCGAACGCAGGCGGUCUUUUAAGUCUGAUGUGAAAGCCCACGGCUCAACCGUGGAGGGUCAUUGGAAACUGGAGGACUUGAGUACAGAAGAGGAAAGUGGAAUUCCACGUGUAGCGGUGAAAUGCGUAGAUAUAUGGAGGAACACCAGUGGCGAAGGCGACUCUCUGGUCUGUAACUGACGCUGAGGCUCGAAAGUGUGGGGAGCAAACAGG